Long non-coding RNA from Pipra filicauda (Wire-tailed manakin), 901 nucleotides. RefSeq lists it as uncharacterized. The transcript has 5 exons. Lineage: Eukaryota; Metazoa; Chordata; Aves; Passeriformes; Pipridae. The record is from RefSeq and is a predicted model, not a curated record.
AUUUCUGUGCCCCUUUUAGGUUAAAGCGAUGGAGACAUCGCUGCCGCUUCGCUCUGCCGAAUGCUGGUAAACCAGAUUGUGCAGGUGGAGGUGACGUUUGGGAAGACGUGCUGCUAUAAUGGAAGUACUUGCACUGAUGAACUGGGGAGCUGGAGCUCAUGCAAUGAACCCUGAUCCUCAUGGAUACACCAGCUUGAAGUGUUCCCUUAGAAUCAUACCAACGACUUGAUUCAGAGGCCUUUUAAUACUGUUUCUGCUGCUGAGAAGAAUUCACCUUAAACCACUCUCACUGUUGCACACCUAGGCUUUGGGCUCCCAGUACACUGUGCAGAAAUUAUAAUUGCAAAAUGUGUCCAGGUGAGUUCUUUUACAGCUCUAACCAAUAGAAAAUAUAAUUUCAUGUAACUUCCUAAAACAAAUCGUUGUUUAAAAUUAGCAAUGUCUAUACUGAGAAACAAGUGAAAAUGAAAUUUAAAAUCAUCCGUGCAUUUAUUUAAGUUACUUACGUGGCUAGUUAAGCCCUUUCUGUCCCAGGCCCUAACUUGUGGAAUUUGAUUAUUAGUCUCUUUCUUCUCCAUGGCAUUCUUUCCUUGAUGUUUCCCUUCAACAACCUGAUGUCAGCAAGAAAGUAUAUGAUACAUUAAACUUUUCUGGAGUUGUGACCUCUGAAUCCAUCUGGGAGGCCGAAGCACUCCUGGGAACUAUCAACCAUGCCCAAGGAGAGACAUAACCCAACUAUCACCUGCUCAAGAAAAAUUCUGUAUUUUCUAGGAGCAGUUUCAGGACUUUUAUUCCAUCUUGUUUAUAAGUAGGGGAUUGAUUCACUAAGCUUUUCUAUGAAAAAUCAAUUUGAUGUAUAAUACUUUCCACAUAUUGCAUUCUAAUAUUUUUAGAGGAAAGC